AUGAAGAGAAAAGCAGGGCCAAACACCAUUAAGAUUAAUGCUUUUUUUAAGCCCCUUGCUUCAAGUUCUCAACCUACUGAAAUUGUUAAUGAGGCGGAUGUGCAAUAUACAAAUCCAAGUCCAGUUAACGCUUCUGAUCAGGAAAUGCCGGACGUGGUAAAUGUUGCAGAACAAACAGAAGUUAUAACCACACCUUAUCAGAGAGACCCCGGUAAACGUUGUCAAAUUUGGGAGCUCCCACCGGACAAGCAAGAUGAUGCUCGGCAUUUUUAUAUAUCUAAGGGAGCAUAUCGACCAGAGUUGGAAGAAUACCCAUUUGAUGAAAAGUCUAAACACCGUCGUCGAUUUCAGAAAGAUUGGUACACAAAUUUCUGGUGGCUUGAGUAUUCAACACACACUGAUAGCGCAUAUUGUUUGCCGUGCUUUCUCUUCUCCAAAAAACCUGUUGCGAGAUGUGGGUCUGAUACAUUCUCGGUCAAGGGUUUUAGAAACUGGAAAAAGGUUAACGAUGGAAAAGCAUGUGCUUUUUUAACUCAUGUUGGGGGCCCGGACUCUGCUCACAACUAUUCCGUUCGGUGCUACGAAGAUCUCAAGACCAGUGUGGCUCAUAUCGACAAGGCGAUGGAAAAGCGAAAUGAGAAAGUAGAAAGUAAUGCGAGAUUGAGGCUUAAGACUACCAUCGAUGCCAUGAGGUGGCUGAUAUUCCAAGCUUGUUCUUUUAGAGGUCAUGAUGAAUCUGCGGGGUCUAAGAACCAUGGAAAUUUUCUUGAAAUGGUUAAGAUUCUCGCUUCGUACAAUAAGGAUGUCGCAGGAGUUGUUCUGGAAAAUGCUCCAGGUAAUGCAAAGUAUACAUCCGGAGAAGUUCAGAAAGAGAUUGUUGGCAUACUUGCUCUAGAAGUGCAAAAAGCAAUUAGAGAAGAAAUAGGUAAUGCCAAGUUUUGUAUAAUGGUUGAUGAAGCUCGGGAUGAAUCAAAAAAAGAACAAAUGGCAGUUGUUCUUCGGUUUGCCAACAAAGAAGCAGAAAUAAUUGAGCGUUUCCUUGAUCUAGUUCAUGUUAAUGACACUGCUGCCUUAACUUUGAAAAAUGCAAUCUGUACUGUACUGUCAGAUAAUAACUUGAAUGUACAAGACAUCAGGGGCCAAGCAUAUGAUGGUGCAAGUAAUAUGAGAGGGGAGUGGAAUGGAUUGAAGGCUCUUAUUCUCCGUGAGUGUCCGUAUGCCUACUAUAUUCAUUGUAUGGCUCGUCAAUUACAAUUGGCGCUUGUUGCUGCAUCACGAGAGGUACAUGAGGUACAUAACUUCUUCCAGAAUGCAAAUUUUGUAAUAAAUGUUGUUAGUGCUUCUACAAAGCGGAGCGAUGAGCUACUAGCGAACCAAGCGGAGGAAAUUGCUCGUGAAAUUGAGUUGGGAGAGCUUGAUACAGGCAGAGGGCAAAACCAAAUAGGAACCUUACAGAGACCAGGAGACACAAGAUGGAGUUCACACUAUAAGUCCAUACAGAGCUUAAAGAAGAUGUUUGCUGCUACAGUUGCUGUCUUAAGAGGUAUAGCAAGUGACCGUUCAGUCUCAAAAUAUUCUCGUGGAGAUGCCGUUGGAUCCCUUAAAAUUGUCAUAUCAUUUGAUUUCGUGUUCAUUCUACAUCUGAUGGAAAAGAUUAUGAAGAUCACUGAUGUGUUGUGUAAGAAACUCCAAUACAAAUCUUUGGAUAUUUUAAAUGCCAUGGAUUCUGUUUCUAACACAAAGGUCCUACUUGGUGAGCUAAGGGAACAUGGUUGGGACUCUCUUUUAGAGGAGGUCAAAUCUUUUUGUGUGAAGCACGAGAUUGAUAUCCCAGAUUUGGACCGCAAGUAUGUUGAUGUUAUCAAAUCUCGAAAUAAGCAUGACAACACAACAACGCUCCACCACUACAAAGUCGAUGUUUUCAGUGUUGCAAUUGAUCAACAACUGAGUGAACUAAAUGAUCGAUUCAGUACACAAGCAACUGAGCUCCUUACUCUCUGUUCAUCAUUGGAUCCAAGGCAUGAAUCUUUUGAUAUCCCAAAGAUAAGCACUCUUGCAGAAAAAUUAUAUCCCGCUGAUUUUUCAAGUCAAGAAUUAGCUCAGUUGGAAAGUCAGCUACCUCAUUUUCAGCUAGAUGUGUGCAACCAUCCAGAACUGAUGACCUUGCCAUCUAUUGCUUGUUUAACAAAAGGGCUAGUUAAAACCGGAAAAGCUUCUUCAUACCCAAUGGUUGACAGGUUGCUGCAACUAGUUAUCACUCUCCCAGUCUCAACGGCAACUGCAGAGCGGGCUUUUUCGGCUAUGAAAAUUGUCAAGACACGUCUUCGAAGUAAAAUGGGAGAUGAUUUGCUUCGCCAUUGCAUGAUAAUUUACAUAGAAAAAAAUUAG
Molecule: ribosomal RNA, 2388 nt
Filed under: Triticum aestivum (bread wheat)
Lineage: Eukaryota; Viridiplantae; Streptophyta; Magnoliopsida; Poales; Poaceae
Description: partial small subunit ribosomal RNA
Source: RNAcentral